RNAcentral lists this ribosomal RNA (265 nucleotides) under uncultured archaeon. RNAcentral's name for it is "partial 16S ribosomal RNA". It matches the Rfam family "Archaeal small subunit ribosomal RNA", at positions 717 to 982 of the family's 1478-position model. The record is from RNAcentral.
ACACGACUACAUUAGAUACCCGCGUAGUCCUAGCCGUAAACGAUACUCGCUAGGUAUCGGCCACGGUGCGACCGUUGUCGGUGCCGUAGGGAAGCCGUGAAGCGAGCCACCUGGGAAGUACGGCCGCAAGGCUGAAACUUAAAGGAAUUGGCGGGGGAGCACCACAACGGGUGGAGCUUGCGGUUUAAUUGGAUUCAACGCCGGAAAUCUUACCGGGACCGACAGCAACAUGAAGGCCAGGCUGAAGACUUUGCCGGAUUAGCUG